CAGCAGCCGCGGUAAUACGUAGGGGGCGAGCGUUACCCGGAUUCACUGGGCGUAAAGGGGGUGUAGGCGGCUCGGUAAGUCGGGUGUGAAAUCCCACGGCUCAACCGUGGAAUUGCGCCCGAAACUGCCGAGCUUGGGGCCGGUAGAGGGAGACGGAACUGCCGGUGUAGGGGUGAAAUCCGUAGAUAUCGGCAGGAACGCCGGUGGGGAAGCCGGUCUCCUGGGCCGCGCCCGACGCUGAGGCCCGAAAGCUAGGGGAGCAAACCGGAUUAGAUCCCCGGGUAGUCCUAGCCGUAAACGAUGCCCACUAGGUGUGGGGGAGUAUUUCCUCCGUGCUGGAGCUAACGCGUUAAGUGGGCCGCCUGGGGAGUACGCCCGCAAGGGUGAAACUUAAAGGAAUUGGCGGG
RNAcentral lists this ribosomal RNA (407 nucleotides) under uncultured microorganism. RNAcentral describes it as "bacterial SSU rRNA". It matches the Rfam family "Bacterial small subunit ribosomal RNA", at positions 509 to 917 of the family's 1533-position model. The record is from RNAcentral.